AUGCCAACUUUAGAAAAACAACAUCUUCUCUGCUUCAUUGUGGUUUCCAUGGAUACAAUCAAUGGUCUGAGAGUCAAGGGCCAGCUCGCUGCGGCAGUUAUCAGAGCGAUUGUCCUCCUGUCCAAGGCUCCAGCAGUGCCUUCAGGCAUCUGGCCGUGUCGUACCCGUGUCUUCACAAAUACCCUUCUACAGCGCCAGAUGUUUCUACACACGUCGCCGUCCAAUCGGAACACAAGUUUUCCCUCCCUGAAUCGAGUCCACCAGGUGGCAUUGCCAGAUAUUUGAGCGCGCUCCACAUGUUACUCGCAGAAUGCAGGAAGAACCAGGUGUUGAGAUCUCAGCAGGUGUGAGGACAAAGCCACCUGAUGCAAAGGUGUUUAUUUUGUCAGUUUGACUUCAGCUUUUAAAAAUGUUAUAGAUAAAUAUUUCAAUUUCUAUUUUUUUAUUUUAUUUUUGUUCUUAUUUGUCUUUGUUUCCUAUCCCUGUCAUUAUUUUGAAUUAAUUUGCCUGGAAUUUUAUUGUUUUAUUUCAAAUAUAACCUAUUAAUUUCAUACAAAGCAUAUACUGUACAGUGAGGUUUAAAACUCCACUUGAAAAAAAUGCUUCUAUUUUGCAUUUAUGUAUUUUUCCAUUAAAAAAUUAUUUUAUCAGCAUAACAAUUGAUGAACACUCAAUUAUUGAAAGAGAAGAUUUUCCUUUUUUCCACCUUUUGCUUUAAUGACAGCAGUACCCAAGCUGAUGUGAAAAAAGCUUGAAGAUCAUGUUUUCCAACAUGAUUUGAGAAUGUUUUAAAGAGCAUCUUGAGCUUUAAAUGGGAUUUGCAGUUCCAGAUUUUCAGUGUGAACCCUUGAACCUCACUUUACGUUCUUUAGUUUUCAUUAUUCAUAUACUCAACAUUUGUAUUUCAGCUACUGUAUCUGUGCACACCAUUUUUUAAAAAGCACUUUUUAUUAUAAAUUUAAAAAUCCCUUCCGAUCAUGUUUUACAAUGUACAAUAUGGCACUUUGUUUCCAUAGGGAUACUGAUGAAUGAGUGUUGAUUUCCGAGCCUACUGAUAAUGUAGUUACUAACAUAUUUCCUAUUUUCAUUUCCCCCUCUUCCCACAGAGAUUAAAGCAUCUUUUUAGCGGCGCAGAGCGGAGCAACAUUGCACUUCCUCAUACAUCAUGUGUGUCAGCACUCAAAUCUACUGCAUUGAAAAUUGCCCCACAAAUCAGCAAGCAAUAAAGGAAACAGAGCGUUGAAAAAACA
Cyprinus carpio (common carp) is the source of this 1250-nucleotide long non-coding RNA. Lineage: Eukaryota; Metazoa; Chordata; Actinopteri; Cypriniformes; Cyprinidae. The record is from Ensembl.